Molecule: transfer RNA, 63 nt
Filed under: Trypophloeus asperatus
Lineage: Eukaryota; Metazoa; Arthropoda; Insecta; Coleoptera; Curculionidae
Description: tRNA-Ile
Source: RNAcentral
AAUAGGGUGUCUGAAUAUGGAGCCACCUUGAUAGGGUGAAAAAUGCAACUCUUGCCCCUAUUA